AGUAAAUAGAUACCCUGGUAGUCCACGCCCUAAACGAUGGAUACUAGGCGUAAGAGGUAUCGACCCCUCUUGUGCCGCAGCUAAACGCAUUAAGUAUCCCGCCUGGGGAGUACGGCCGCAAGGUUGAAACUCAAAUGAAUUGACGGGGGACCCGCACAAGCGGUGGAGCAUGUGGAUUAAUUCGAUACUAACCGAAGAACCUUACCCAGACUUGACAUCGAUCGCAAGCCUUAGAAAUAGGGCCCUCCCCCACAAGGGGACGUGAAGACACUUGUUGCAUGGCUGUCGUCAGCUCGUGCCGUGAGGUGUACGGUUAAGUCCGCCAACGAGCGCAACCCUCGUCCUGUGUUACCAGCAUGAAAGAUGGGAACUCACAGGAGACCGCCGGUGUAAAUCGGAGGAAGUGGGGAUGACGUCAAGUCAGCAUGGCAGUUACGUCUGGGGCUUCACACAUGCUACAAUGGGCGAAACAGA
This 474-nucleotide ribosomal RNA is filed under the name uncultured bacterium. RNAcentral describes it as "bacterial SSU rRNA". It matches the Rfam family "Bacterial small subunit ribosomal RNA", at positions 774 to 1243 of the family's 1533-position model. The record is from RNAcentral.